UGUGCCAGCAGCCCGGUAAUACGUAGGGUGCGAGCGUUGUCCGGAAUUAUUGGGCGUAAAGAGCUUGUAGGCGGUUUGUCGCGUCUGCUGUGAAAGCCCGGGGCUUAACCCCGGGUCUGCAGUGGGUACGGGCAGGCUAGAGUGUGGUAGGGGAGACUGGAAUUCCUGGUGUAGCGGUGGAAUGCGCAGAUAUCAGGAGGAACACCGAUGGCGAAGGCAGGUCUCUGGGCCACUACUGACGCUGAGAAGCGAAAGCGUGGGGAGCGAACAGGAUU
RNAcentral lists this ribosomal RNA (275 nucleotides) under uncultured Actinomycetales bacterium. RNAcentral describes it as "partial 16S ribosomal RNA". It matches the Rfam family "Bacterial small subunit ribosomal RNA", at positions 504 to 779 of the family's 1533-position model. Lineage: Bacteria; Bacillati; Actinomycetota; Actinomycetes; Actinomycetales. The record is from RNAcentral.